Molecule: microRNA, 21 nt
Filed under: Bombyx mori (domestic silkworm)
Lineage: Eukaryota; Metazoa; Arthropoda; Insecta; Lepidoptera; Bombycidae
Description: bmo-miR-2807d
Source: miRBase by way of RNAcentral
CAGCUGCAUACAAAAUUGGGC